RNAcentral lists this transfer RNA (75 nucleotides) under Streptomyces phage BillNye. RNAcentral's name for it is "tRNA-Glu". It matches the Rfam family "tRNA". Rfam says of the family: Transfer RNA (tRNA) molecules are approximately 80 nucleotides in length. RNAcentral also lists the same sequence under 1 other name. The record is from RNAcentral. Lineage: Duplodnaviria; Heunggongvirae; Uroviricota; Caudoviricetes; Stanwilliamsviridae.
GCCCCAGUGGUCUAGCGGUCUAGGAUACUUGACUCUCAAUCAAGAGGUCGCCGGUUCGAAUCCGGUCUGGGGUAC